AUGCAAGAUUGUAUCCUAUGUGAACUAUGGAGUCAUUCUGGAGGUAUCGUUCUAGGAUAUUUAUCUUUGUUGUUCUUAGAUGAACCAUCCAUUAAAUGGUUAUCAUAUUUGUGCGGGAACUGGAUAAAGAAUGUACCUUUCACUUUCUUAUACUAUGUUGGUUGGCGCUGCCAGUUUGAUUUUCCUUUAAACGAUAAACAAGACAGAAGGACAUGUGUGGCUUCUUUAGCUUUAUAUCAUGUUAUAUUUGCAUCUUUAACACCAUCUUUUUCCAUCAAUAUUGAGAUGGUUCAGGGUCAAAAGCAAUGCAAGAUUGUUUCAAUUUUGAUUCUCAUAUUUAUGUAG
RNAcentral lists this ribosomal RNA (345 nucleotides) under Triticum aestivum (bread wheat). RNAcentral's name for it is "partial small subunit ribosomal RNA". The record is from RNAcentral. Lineage: Eukaryota; Viridiplantae; Streptophyta; Magnoliopsida; Poales; Poaceae.